This is a long non-coding RNA of Gossypium arboreum, 1737 nucleotides long. RefSeq lists it as uncharacterized. The record is from RefSeq and is a predicted model, not a curated record. The transcript is spliced from 2 exons. Lineage: Eukaryota; Viridiplantae; Streptophyta; Magnoliopsida; Malvales; Malvaceae.
CCCACGAGCAAGCACUCUAAGGCUUAAAGACAAAUGCCACAAAAGAAAAUGCAUAAGAGAGUACUUAAAUACAGCUCAAAAAAAGGAAUGACACUAUAGAAAUACUUACAGCAUGUUUAGUUGAAGGUAAUGAUUAUGCCAAGCAGAGAUUUUUGAGGAUUUCUAUUCAUUACUUAAAUAAUCCUCUUUUACCCUUACCAAAAUUUCACCUCAAAAACACUCUCAAUCGGCAACCAUUUCCCGUAGUCUUCGACUCCGGCAUUCCUCCCCUUCAUCCAAGAGCCUUGAAGAAGCAGAGUAUCUCGACGUUCUCACUAAAACUGGUAAAAAAUCGGCGUUUCCAAGCCCAGGCGCGUCCCUUCAUUCUUGUCCAUUUCUGGAUUAUCUGUUUUUGAUCUUUCAACAUAAAUGAUUACUUUACAACCGGCUCUUUUCUUUAUUUUCUAUACUGUUUGUUGCUUACUCUUAGCAGAAAUCAUGUUUUGCAGCUUCUGUAAAUUGGGUUUGUUAUUUGCAGCUUCUGUAAAUUGGGUUUGUUAGAACCUUUGAGAUUAGUUAAGCUGGUUCCUUGUUAUUUUCAUUUUUGUUGAUUUGCUGAUUUUGGUAGUAAUAGCUUAAUUUGAAGCUGAAGGUUUUGGUCUCUUUGAAACCCUUUGUUGCAGAUCUCACACACAAAUCUAUUUCUAGCCAUUAGUGUUUUAGGUGACAAAGCUAUCACUUCUGCAUCUGGGUCUGAUUCAAAACAAAAGUCUUAGUUAAGAAAACAAAUAAAAAAAUAAAAGUAAUAAAAGUAACGGUGUUUUAAGAUAAGGGUUGUGAAGUUUGAACCCAAACAAACAUAGAUUGCCUGGUUGGUUCCUCUUUCUCUUAACUGGUUGAGCUUGAGCUGGUGGGUUACUAAAGUACUGUUGAGAAUAGUCGGUUCCACCAGCAGCUGAAGAAACACUGGCUUCACCAGAUGCACAAGUCAAUUUAGACAUAUUCUCUUCCAAAACUUCUUAUUGUUGUUGGUGGACUAUAUAACCUUUCAUAUCAUCUUCUCUUAAAUAACCAUGGAUCUUGGUUACAGAAAAUCCAUAGAUAAAAAACAAAAACCUUAGGUGAUAAAAGAGAAAAAGGAAAUAUAGAUACUAGUUAUGGACUCAAGUAGCAUGAAUAAAAUUAAAAAUAUAUUUUGCAUAAACUUUUAUAUUAGAUUUCACAUUGAUUUUGUUAUGCAUCUUAGUAAUAAUUCACUCAUAUAGUAGUAAAAGUACUCUUUUGUUUAAUUUCCAGUUUCUUUUAUAUUUAGACAUUUUACCCCUGGGUUUAAUUCUAAGCCUCCAUAACUUGUUUCAUUAUCCCUAGGCCAAAAAGAAAGAAAAGCUAUUUCUUUUAUCUACCUAGCCAAAAAAAUCUAUGGGAACAAAACGAAAAUGUGGAAGCAUGCUUAAUUUGUUUAUAUACAGAAAAACAAAAUAACAAGCUUUGAUUUGAUAGCCAUUUGCUGCAUGAUUACUGAUAAGUAGAUCUAUAGAGCACUUUUUUUAGAAAGAUUUUUUAUUAUGUCAUCUUAUUAGUUUAAUUUCAAAUUUGUGUUAUUGGAAAAAAAGAUUAAACAAAUGAAAUUGAGUUUAUUCUGUAUUGACAAAGUCAGCUGUCGGUUUAUUCAUUUUCUCUAACCUAAAUUUUGCAGUCUUAAGCAGCUCAUUUCUAUGCGUAUUAAAUCGGUAACAAAACCGGCAUUUCCAAGCCCAG